UACAGAGGUCCCAAGCGUUGUUCGGAUUCACUGGGCGUAAAGGGCGCGUAGGCGGCGCGGGAAGUCAUCGGUGAAAGUUCAGGGCUCAACUCUGAAUCGGCCGGUGAUACUCUCGUGCUUGAGCACUGUAGAGGCAGGUGGAAUUCCGGGUGUAGCGGUGGAAUGCGUAGAGAUCCGGAAGAACACCGGUGGCGAAGGCGGCCUGCUGGGCAGUAGCUGACGCUGAUGCGCGACAGCGUGGGGAGCAAACAGG
RNAcentral lists this ribosomal RNA (253 nucleotides) under uncultured bacterium. RNAcentral's name for it is "partial 16S ribosomal RNA". It matches the Rfam family "Bacterial small subunit ribosomal RNA", at positions 524 to 776 of the family's 1533-position model. The record is from RNAcentral.